Non-coding RNA from Taeniopygia guttata (zebra finch), 1687 nucleotides. The record is from RefSeq and is a predicted model, not a curated record. NCBI's taxonomy places the organism in Eukaryota, Metazoa, Chordata, Aves, Passeriformes, Estrildidae.
AGCGCGCUCCCCCGCGCUGGCCCCGCCCCCCGCGGCCCGCGCGCGCCGCCUCACGGGCGCGCUCCCGCCGGCCCUUCCCGCCCCUCAGGGCGCGGCCCCUCAGGCGCCCUCGCCCCGCUCCGCCCCGACCCCGCUCCCCGCCGUGGCUAAUUCACCUUCGCGGGGCUCCUUCGAGGUGUUGGGGGGCUGUGCUGUGCUGCCAGGCUCGGCUGGUGGAGGCAAAACGCUGCCGGCGGCCACGCGGUGGGAGCUGGCUGGGAGGGGUCAGAACGGUGUAACACAGCGGGGUGAGGCUGGGGCCUCCGCCACUGGGGUCAAAUGUUGGCCGGGGCUUCUGCCUCAUCGCCACCCCAGCCCCAAAAUGUCCUGCAGGUAGUGCAGCUGGAUGCCAUAAAACACAUCUCUGUCUCUGGAUAAAAAGGAAGUCAUGGCUCUUAGAUCUGGAGAUCUAUGUGGGAAAGCACAAGAGCCUUAGUGCUGGCCUUUGAUUUCUGUAUUCUAGAAAGGUCUGUAUUUGCACAAGCAACAAGUACCAAGUUCUCUGAGAGCUGGUUAUGCUGUUCACCAACCCCAGAUAGGUGUUAAGUGCUCCCAGAUUCCUUUCAAACUGUUUGGUGGCAUGGACUAAGGGGGGGUUUUUGGGAUGUGAAUAGCUGAUGUUACUAAACUGGAAGGAAAAUUAUCUGUAUUUCACAUAUAUGAAUAUACAGCCAAGUCAAGGCUUAGCCACACUGCCAGGCUGUAACUCACAGAUCAGUAACUAGACCUGGUGAUCCACCAGGAUCCAAGAAAUGGAUCUAUUUCAGUUGUUUUACAAUGAGGUGUCUGCUUGAGUUCUUAAUCAGACAACCUUGGUGUUUCUUUGUCGUGUCCCAACACUUCCCAACAUUAAAUUCAUCCAGUGACCAUAUUUUUUUUUAUGAUUUGAAACAUCCCAAACACAAAAUAAGAUGUCAGGGCUUGUGCACAUCUAGAAGCAUCAAGACAUGUGGCAACACCUUUUAUACCAUCUUUUAUCCAAGUAUUUCAGAAUGAUUUACAAGCGUUAAUUAAUGUUAAGUGUUACAACACUCCUACUUAAUCUGUAGUUUUUAAUAUUCUUCAAUAGCAGAAUAUUUAAACGUGACCUGUUCUGCAGGUUGUGUUUUCACUUGGCUCAGCUCUUCAGAACACUGGUCAUGUUGCCACAUGAGUAGGAAAUCAUAGCUAAAAAUAUUGCUGGUGUGUGUGUGAAUAUAUAUUUAUAUAUGUACUUCCCAUUGCAAGGAUUUGGUUUAGUUGUCAGUGGUGGUUUUUUUUUUUCUUUUUUUCUGAAAGAGUGUAAAUUAUGGUCCAUAUUUCUAUUUUACUGGUUGUUUUCGAUAAAAAUAGAAUAAAUGUGUCACCUAUAUAAGAGAAUUUGCUGUGGCAAGGAGGUGUCUCUUACUCAAGGAGCUUAUUAUCCUUAGGCAGGGGUUGCUUUUUGCUGGCAGGAUUCCUCUGGCAGAGCAAAUCCUUCUGGCCAUCCAGGAAAUCUUGCAAACCCAGUCAUUCUGUGGGGUUACUCUUAUCAGCACCACGAGGAGAGCUCAUUCCUGCCUUUUCCUCCCCACUUUUCACCAUGGCCAGGGGUCUGGCAAUGAGUGUUGGUGGCUGGGAUCAAGGAGAUCUCCCUACCUGCAUUGGGGAUUUGCUCCUAUUUAAUUAC